Long non-coding RNA from Cyanistes caeruleus (blue tit), 1769 nucleotides. Lineage: Eukaryota; Metazoa; Chordata; Aves; Passeriformes; Paridae. The record is from Ensembl.
ACCCGCCUCCACUGCUGGGUCCCUCUUGUCCUCCUUCCCCCUGAGCUGCACAGGAUUAAAUCUUGGCGUUAAAACACUGGGAAAAGACAUGGGUUAUGGGUCUCAAUAAGUACCAGAAUAUUCUGCUAGGCAUUUUCUUUGUUUAAACCACAUUUUUUUACAAUAUAGAUACUUGGAAAUGUCGCAAGAUUUGGUUGCUUUAUUUGAACUGCAAAAUGAAGGGUAUGAAUUAAUGUCAGAAAGUCAGACCUGUGCAGUGAGUGAAUCAUUAUCAAAUCCACUCAUAGGUGAAGCUUGAGACAUUUUUGUAUUUUUCUCUCAUUUGCAGCUGACUUGUCUCCAUUGAUCCACAGACGCUUGAGCAGCAGGAAAGAGUGACAAACAGUGGCAUCCAGUUGCAGCACGUGAUAAUUCAAUGACAAUAUGGCAGCAGACAUGCACCUCGCCUGUUAUGGGCUAAUCAGAGAUGCAGCGUUCAAAUCAGACUCAAAGCAUCCGCAAAACUUGGAGCAAGGGAGCUGUCAGGGGAGGAGAACUGUAUCCACAACUGACUGCAGGAGUGCAAGCAGAUGUGGACAUGAAGAAAAGGAUCCUUGGUUUGUAUGUUUGGCUGAUAAAGCUGGUAGAAAUUGUGCUGCCAGCCUUGGGAAGGAUGGAGUUUGGCUUUGUUGUGCUCUUGGUCAGAGUUUGGAAAUCUAGGACAAAGCAAGGCUAUGGAGAAGGAGACUCAGAGGUAUCUGGAAAAUGUUGUGCCAAAGAGCUGCAGUAGGGAAGAGCAGAUUCCCACUGCAGGGAGACUCCAAGGGCCGAUGAAGGGUGAGCAGAGCUCCCAGCACCCUGCCAUGGUGCUGGGAAGGGAGCUCAAGACCUGACUCUGAGGCUCCUCUCUGCUUCUCCUCUGCUGCUUUUGUUGUUUCCUGCUGAUGCUUGGCUGGGUGGCCUGACCGUGAAUGUGUGAAUGCAUCUCUCUUUUGGAGUUGCAGCACAUAUGGGAAAACACUCCAGAGGGAAGUGGAUACUGUGCUUUUUGAGACAACUUGCAAGGGAGAAGAGAUUUUGCAAGGACAGGAAAUUCAGCCUUCACUUUUACAACACACCCUGGGGUUUUGUUCAGCACAUCAGCAGUUCUGCAGGAGGAAAGGACCAGUGGCAGCUUCAGAAAACACAGGGUUCCCCUUUCACUUGUGCUCAGCUUUCUGGGCUGUAUGUUUCUGAAAGGCUAUUUCAGUGCAUGUGUUCUCAAUGAGAGCAAUGCCUCAGUUAGCGCUUGGCAUAAAAUCUUACGGGUGCUAGUUGCUUUUUACUUUUCAUCAGAUGAGAUAUUUAAAAGCAUCUCAUUUGUGUCCCCUAGAAUUAGUCUGAAGAUUCUCAUCACACUUGGUUUUUUAUUAAUGAAAGCUCUUGGAGACACAUCUGGCAUAUUUUAUUGAUCAUAAUCUCAUGGUUGGAAGCGCAUCUUGGUAGCUAUAGCAACAGAAGGGGUUUUUUUUUCAAAUGUCAACAUAGCUCCACAAAAAGUAGAGUAACGGGAGCAGAUAAUUUAAAUUACUAGACAGCUAAUAACUCCUUCUUCUGUAAUAACACCUUCUUCUGUAACCAGUUCUGAGAUUUCUGAUUCAAUACAGUAAAUAAUGGAUAAGAACAAAAUCUUUCAAUGACUACCUCUGCUGUGGAAGCUUGUGAAAGUGGAAUAACAUGGAUGGAUGUGGUGUCUCAAGAGUGGUUUUUUUUGCUGGUUGUCCAUUGCUCCCAUCCUCUGUUGGGCUGCA